Long non-coding RNA from Oreochromis niloticus (Nile tilapia), 785 nucleotides. RefSeq lists it as uncharacterized. The record is from RefSeq and is a predicted model, not a curated record. Lineage: Eukaryota; Metazoa; Chordata; Actinopteri; Cichliformes; Cichlidae. The transcript is spliced from 2 exons.
GUAAUUUAGCCUUUUAAUCAGCUGUUUUGGGUCAAGGACACAUCUAAAACCUGCAGGACACCGGCUCUCAAGGCCUGGAGUUCGACACCUGUGAUCUAGGUGAUCUUUCAAGCAAUGAUGUUGAGGCCAGGGCCUAUUAUAUGCCACAGUCUAAAGGCAGCGGAGUUUCUGAGGCUGGAGUGACCACUCCUUGCAGGGUGGUGGGUCUCAGAGGACAACUGCUAACCCAGUUGGAGUUGAUGUGUGGAGUGCAACUGUCGUUGUGGCAUAGCUGGCUCUGGCCUUGGGACUGUGUUUUUACUUGAUUCGCAAAUGGGACACUGGACUAUUAUCUUUUGAGUAUUGUGUCAACUAUCUUUUAGAAUUGUAUUGACUGUCAUCUUUUUGCCCACGGCUGAGACGGUUGGUCAGACCUAGAGUCUUUUUGGGUGUGUUACAAUGACCAUUAUAGCUACCUUGCAUACAAAGAUACCAAAGGAUGUAACAUCCUGCUCCUCUGGGUGGGCAACAGUUGUGCUCCAUUUUCCAAUGGCUGGACAUUACCUCCUAAUCAGAGCUCUGUACAACUUCACUCAUUGCAGAAGCCUCAUGUGAUUCACAUGUACAAGUUGAUCUUAACCAAAUGGUAGUUAUUUCUUAACUGUUUUUGCUUACCUUGUUACAUUCUUGAACUUUGCCAUUUGUUUUUCUAUUGCCCCAAAUGGGUCAACAAAGAGAACCCUCAUCUUGUAGAUACACCGUCUUAAAGAAAAUUAAUGAAAAUUGUAUUAAACGUAGUCAUUUCA